Molecule: long non-coding RNA, 6855 nt
Organism: Falco peregrinus (peregrine falcon)
Lineage: Eukaryota; Metazoa; Chordata; Aves; Falconiformes; Falconidae
Exons: 2
Source: RefSeq, a predicted model, not a curated record
CCUGAAUUAUUUCAGUAGAGAUGAUGCUACCUAAGAGUGGAAACUUGAUCUCCUGGCUUCUAAAGUAGGAUGCUUUUCUUCAAAUUAGCUGAAUAUGCUGAUCGUAUUCUUUUGAAGCUAUGGGGUCUGUGAACAGCAGUACACUUGAAGCUAUAAAAGCAAGCCAACAUUUCUUCAUAACGGGAAGCGUUCCAUGAGUCAGAACAGAAGUAAAAUUCCUUCAAGCUACAUUUAUGGCAGACAUUCACUGGGAAACAUGAAAGGAGCGUUGAUCAGAAAUGUGGACCUUUGGAACGGCAAGGGGUUUUGUCUUCUGAGGCUUGUCCUUCCAGUGAAUCUGUGUAUCGUCCACAGUAAGAAAUCAAAAUAGCAAAGGUUAAUUUAGGAAGAAGGUGGGUGGCUGUUGGAUAACUUGCUUAAGUUGUUAUUGUUCUUGGUGGUUUUCUUCCAUGUUGCAAUUGGGAGGGAAAAAAAAAAUCACAAAACGGCCUCUUCCUUUCUUCCUUUUCCUCACAUUUACCUUUCCAGGGAAGCACCUGAGCACUUAGUUUUGGGUUGGAUAAUGUCCACUUUUGACUCUGUGUGGGAAAAUGGAAACAUGAACUUGGUUGGGGUUUCUGUAUUCCUGAAAUCCGGUACAUCCCAAAAGAAUAUUCCUGAAAUACUGAGUGUCUGGGAGAACGAAUGCAGGAUUGUCUAAGAUGGAGGGUUCACUUUCAUGAGGAAAAACAUUUUCAUCUGCCUCCCUUGUUCUCUGCACGCCUGUUGUUUCAGGUGCUGAAGAGCUAUUUAACGGAGAGGAGAUUUGUUUCUUCCAUUUCCCUUUGCUGAUCUCUCCUCUUAUAUCAAAAUGACUUGAUGACACAUGAGAAAAUGAAGUGCACUUGCUGAGCCUUUAUGGAAGGAAAAACCUGUAUACCGUUAAAAGCUGUCUAUAGUGAUAAAUAGGCAGUUGGCAAGUGGCUGCUCUGGUUUUCCAGUGUGUUUUUCUCGGAGAACCUGCAGCAGAUUGGCUAUAAUUGCUCAUUGCUCUCCAUUAGUAGAUCUCCCUCCUGGCAAUUCUUUAAUAGUUUACAUCUCUUGGGGCUGAAAAUUACUAUUUUAAUUAAAACAAUUUGUUUCGAAUGGGGCUCCCAAAUCCCCAUAUGAUGUUUUAGAAGCCUUGGGCAAAGAGCUGAAAAUGGAGAGUAGCAAUUGUUUUUAGGGUUUGGCGUGAGGCUGGAAGUAGGAACUGGGAUUUUCACACAAUUUCCAAGGCUACGGCUUGUGGUGAGGCAGAAUAACCCUCAAAGUACUGAAACUGAGUAGGACGGAGAUUUUUGUCUUCUAAAUAUUAUAUUAAUUCACAGGGGUGGAGAAAACUUCCCCAAGUUUCAGUUUAGACUCAUUAUUUUCUUUGCUUUUGUGUAGAUUGAGAGAAAAAAAAUGUUUUUCUGGUGAAGGAAAGGUGAAAGCCAAAGAAAAGGGACCUUGGACACCUAAAUGCUACGAGCCCACACUUUGGAAGUGAGAUUGAGUAGCCAACAGCCAUGCGAGGGGGGUGUACACGCGAGGCAGGGCUAUUUAUUGCUUUGCAGAUGAAGCCUGGACCCACAGAGCCUGGCUCUCCCUCUGCACCCAGGGAGGCAGGAGACUCCCAGGGGCUGCGCUGUUUCUCAGCUCUCGGGGGUUUAGUGUCCAGCUGCUGGAUGUGCCCAGGGCUCCUGCUGUGAGGUGGAGCAAAUAUUUUGCCCACAUGAAGGUGCAGGUCUUACACAGAAAGUUUUCAUUUCUGAGGCUGAGCCCUGAAGGUCCCAGCGUGGUGAAUUUGCUGCAUCCUAGCAGCUUUGAGAACUACACAAAGCUUCAUUCCAAGCAGUAUUUUAUUCUUUUUAUAAGUGUGUGAGUAUAUAUAUAUGUAUAAAAUAUGUAUUUAUUUUAUAUUAUUUUUUUAGUAUUAUAUAUAACGUAGGUAUGUGUAUAAUAUAUAAAAAAUACACGUUCAUGUGCUGUUCUGAAACAUCCUAGUGGUGAGAGCACCUGCUGUGGAAACAGAAGAUGCAGGUUCACUGUUGUCCUCGGACGGUGGGUACCAGCCUCCCACCUCGAGGGGAACGCUCCAGCCAGCUUCCCCAUCCCCAAGGCCCAUGCAACCAAGCUAUGGAGCCAGGCUCCCUUCUUCUGUCUCUUCAGCCUCAUAAAAAUUAGGUUUCUUCUUCAGGAUUGUUUCAUCUUUAUUUUAUGGUCCUUCUUCCCCAGCCACCAUUCUCACCGUUAGCCUGUUAUACUACACAGCAGAAAAGGCACCUCCCCUCGGCAAAGGAGAGCCUGGCUGCUGGCAUGCAGGCUUGUGAUUUAAGCAUCUCCUUGCAGAGUGGUUUCAGACUCUCCAACAGUAUCAAACAGGCAUUUAAUUCAUGCCUGCCAAUAAUGCCUGUUUCCCUGAACGCUGUUGCUUGCUCCCACUGCCAUGGUGUGAAUCCUGUUUCCUGAGGUUUGGUGAAAAGCGUAACUCCUCUCCUGGCUGAGAUGCUAAGGUCUGUAACCCUGCCCCACAUGGUGUGUUACAAGUGCUCAACGGUUGCGUUGGUAUUAAUGACUAUGAAUAUAUACAGCAUGAAACGUUCACAGAAAGGCUCUUCAGCAAUGCUCCUCUGUAGGGGGAUAGAGGAGAGGAAGCUCUGGAGCAUCAGCUUGCUGGGGGUGGGAAGACCUCUGGCAUCUCUCCAAGCAGGGCUGGCCAGCACCCCAUCCCUUCCACUGCAGCUAUGCCCUGUUGGGAGCUGAGGGUGUAAAGCUGAGGGUCUGAUGCAGCACACAGCUGCUGGGAACAUCUGCAAUGGGGUUUGGCAAUCUGCAGCAGCCCGGAAAGCUAGAUUAGACAAAAGCUAUCAAUUCAUAGCAGGUUUGUCUUGAAAUGUCUUGUUAAGUGCUGCUCGGCUAAAAACUCUGCAUGUGCCUGGGUACAAAGCCUGGCUGAGGCUGGAGGUUCUUUCUGAAGAUGUAAUUCCCAAAGCUCCUACCUUCCCUGGCUGGAACAGUCUGAAAUGAUAAUGCAAAGAGGUCUCUCUGUACUUUACGGCAUGGCAAAAGAAUCAAAAAACUCAAAGGCUAGGAUUACCAAGGGCUCAAGAUAAGAAGAGUGACACCAUGCAGAACACAUGAGAAAGUCUUAGGCUGGGGGAAAAAAAUAAUAAUCCGUUGUGUAAGUGAUGCAGCAGUCACGGCAUGCCAUCAGAGACUGAUCAGAGGAGACAGCGAGCGCAGGCGCUCUGUUGUGCUGCCUUGGCUUAGGGUGGUGCGAGCGCGUGGUGACUUGCCUGUUGCCUAGCAAGCUCUCAGCUUUGCUAUAUAGGCUUGUGUAGAAAAUUAAGCUGCUAAGGCAUGACAAUAUAUUUUGCCUUCUGUAGAACUGAUAAGAGUUAUUACUGUUCCAAUGUUGCCAUUAUUUUAUCUCCUGACUGGCCGCUUUAUUCAAUUUUCUUCGAGUCCAUGUGCUUUGUGGUGUGCUCAUUUUGCUCUUCCUUCCUUCCACCAUUGCUUUAUGCACUUCUCUCCAGGGUGGUUACUUCUGACUGCUUUGCUUAAGUGACCAUGAACUAUGGGUAUGCAUUAGUUUAAACACAUGCUGGAUUAUUAGGAAUGCUUGGCUUUAUUCUGGCUUUGUAAUGAGCUUUAUUUGCAUUUUAUUUGUGCUGCUUUUGUUCUUGUUUUCCUGCUGCUGUCAAAACUGUGAGGUCUGAAUAGUUUCUGGUAUGUGCUUAAAUCAUAUUAUUUGCUUGUGAAGGUCUGCUUGUAUGCCUAGCAUCCAAAAAGACUUAAUUUCCAAGGAUAUUGAUAAUUUAAGAUCUAAUUAGCUGCUCUGCAAAGGUAUUUAAAUGUUCAGACCUCUUCUAUCCAUUAUGCAGGGCCAUUUUUAUCUUUUUGCCACAGAUCCUAUCCCAGUAGGUAGCGUGUCAGGCCUGCCAGGUUAUGAUGAAAUUCCUGACCAUCUGUUAUCCACGGGCCGUUGGUCUCUGCCAAGUAGUGCACCAAAGGGAAGAAGACUGGUUUCUUCAUGAAAAUGUGCUUCUGCUUUCUUGAACAAUCCCCAAAUCAGCCUCUGCUUUUUUGCUGCUACAACACAGCUACCAUAAGGGAAGGAUAUACCCAUCAUCAAAUAAUCGCAACUUUAAGAAAAGCAAGAAAAGAAGUGAAUUCCUUAUUGGAAGCGCAGAUUCCCUUACAGGCUAGAGGAGUGAUAUUUUUUGCCUUACCCUUUGCAGCCGUGGCUGCCUUUCCCUGCCCAGGUUCGGCUCCCAGCCCUUGUGCAGCUGAGCUGGUGGAGCAGGCACGUUGGGAGCAGCCUGCACGCUGCUGGGGCUCGGCACGUCUGAGGGCUGCAGCAGGCUCCAGGUGGGGAGCCGGUGCCUCUGCACCUCUCUGCAAGCGCAGCCACUGGUUUGUUCCUAGAGCUGGUGUUUUAAUCAGCCUGGAUGUGAACAUGCCGUUUCUCCAGGAUGUUUCGGGUAUUUAUGUUUGCAGCGUCGCAAGUUCAGCAUUUGGUGCUGGAGCCUGGGCAGCAGCUCUUUGCACUCCCAGUCUUGGCGUGGAUGUCAGCCUGCAGGCUGGCUGGCUGUAGGCUCAGGUCUUGCUGAGUUUUCCUGUCCUUUCCACUUGCGUCCUUGUGAUGCUGAAGUUGCAGAAGUAGAAAAAUACCGAGGGAUUACUAAAUAAUCCUACAGUAUCUCAACGGCCCAGAGAGAUUGCUAAGGUUUAAAGUUUACAAAGUAAUCUAAUUGCACUGAAAGCUGUUUUCCUGGAGCAGGUCCAGCACCAUCUUCGCCUGCGGGUUCAUGAUCAGCUCAGGGCAGAGCAUCGCACAGCCCUGCGGGAGCCGGUGCUGCCGGUGGAGGCUGGGACGUGCCAGGGCUGCUGCGUUGUGGGCUUUGGCCUUGGCGGCUUCUUUCCAUCCACCAGACUGGGCUGUGCUGGGGUCGUCUCUGUCUGACCAGAGCAUGAACCCCGUAUCCGGCACUGAGAAGUCCUCGCUCCAUCUGGUUCCCUAUAGCCUGCUAGGGCAUCAGCUUCACAAGUCGUGAGACUUAACCAUUCCCCCUACUUUUUUUUUCUUCUUUUCUUCCACAAAACCCAGUAUAUACACUUUGGUUCAAAGAAAAACACAGACUAUGAUUCAUAGCACCUAAUUACAGAUGACAGGCCAUGUUGUUGUUGUUGUUACCUGUGCUAUUAGAUGUUUUUGCUGAUACAUGAUGCUGCCACUUUCCUGCAGCCUUGAACAAGUUUGCCUUUCAUUACACCUGCAGAUGUUAGUUUAUUAUUGGUAUUUGUCAUAUGCUUCCAGCAUAUUUAGCAGGAAAAAACCCAAUGCAAAGCAUUUGCAUUUUUUCCUUGUUAGCUUCUUUCUUACAAGCAAAUAUAUACAAUCAACUUACAGUUGUUUUAAACAAAACUUAGUUUCACAGCAUACUGUGUAUUAUGAUUUUCUUCAGAUAGUCAUAGACAGGUUCUGGAGGCAGCCUGGAAAAAAGGCCUAGAAAGAGAUAGCCUGGAGAAUGAAUUUGUUCUGUUGGAUAUUUAAUGACUUUUGCCAUGAUUUAUGCUAUCUUUAAGACACAAGGAAUUCUUUUGACAAUUUAAAUCCCUACACUGAAGUAAGGUAGUUUUUUUUUUUGUGUGUGUGUGUGUGCGUGUGCUGCCAGUAAUAUAGCGCACUUAUUACAGUAUGCACAGAUUACCAAGAUUUUAAAAGUCUGGCUAACUAAAUUGUAUUGUGUAAUGUUUUUUGCAUGGAUUUUUGUGAAAAUAGUGAAAACAGUAUCCAGGGAAAAGCUGUGCCUUCAGUUUUAGUUUUUAUGUUUAUGAGUGUUUUUAUGGUGUCUGAUGAACUGAAAGGAAGAAUAUUUUUUAAACACAAAUAUCUUUCUACACACACAUGCUCACACAUUGCCUAGUAUCAUAUAAGGCUCUUGCACUUUUCUACUUGUGAAGAUGUUCUUUUAACAGUUAUACCAUACUACUCAAUACAACUUCUGUAUGUGUGAAAACAUAUUUAUGAAUUACAAAUAAUUAUUAAAUUGACCAAAAAUUCUGGAUUAUUUACUUAUCAAGUUGAAGUGAGCACUAAUGAGUGCACUGAGCUGAAGAGAAAUCAUGGAACUAAAUACCUGUUUUUCUUUUAAGCUGUUUUAGUUGGUCUAGAAUUCUUGAGUGAGCUGAUAAAUAUUGAGAUAAAAUAUGAUGUCCAAGUUAGAGUAGUUGCUGCAGGAAAUCAAGCCAAUUCAGGAUAUGAUAAGAGACUUAGAAAACUUAAUCUGCAAGGUACAGUAAUACAAGAAUAUACCUCCUACAACCUCUUCUAUUAUUUUCUAAAAGUCGAUGUGCCUUUGGUCAGUAUCCUUUGGAAUGACACUGAGCUUUAGGAAGCACACAGAUUCUCAGGUUAUGCCUCUGAUUUAGUGAUUUGCUCAUGUUGGAGACAAUAUUUUAGUUUUGGAGCUGAACGUGUCUGUGUAAGAUCACACAGCAACCUGCAGGGUGGUGGAUGUUUUCAGAUAGCAAAAGUGAUCAGUGUUAAAGAACUAAUAAAUCUUAUGCUCAAACUCAGCUUUUAAAGUAAAUAAAACCAUUUAUAAGAAAAAUUAAGGAAUUAAUAUUAUUUUUUUUCCUUCUGAGUAUAAUGCAGUGCCAGAAGUGAAUAUUUUUUGAAUGUUUGGAGCCUACAGUCUCAGACUAGGUAUACAAAUGCCAGCUGGAAAGAACUAUUAUUCCGUAGUUAUAAAAAGCUGAAAAUACUGUUCAUCCGAUUGUCAUGUUAACCUUAAACUCAAAUGUAGCUCCCUCAGUAGACCUAUAAUAAAAUGAAUAAUUAUUUCA